AGAGACAGCAGUACCACGGUAAUACGUAGGGUGCGAGCGUUAAUCGGAAUUACUGGGCGUAAAGCGUGCGCAGGCGGUUGUGUAAGACAGGUGUGAAAUCCCCGGGCUUAACCUGGGAACUGCGCUUGUGACUGCACAGCUAGAGUAUGGCAGAGGGGGGUGGAAUUCCACGUGUAGCAGUGAAAUGCGUAGAGAUGUGGAGGAACACCGAUGGCGAAGGCAGCCCCCUGGGCCAAUACUGACGCUCAUGCACGAAAGCGUGGGGAGCAAACAGGAUUAGAUACCCCCGUAGUCCCUGUCUCUUAUACA
This 309-nucleotide ribosomal RNA is filed under the name uncultured bacterium. RNAcentral's name for it is "partial 16S ribosomal RNA". It matches the Rfam family "Bacterial small subunit ribosomal RNA", at positions 504 to 808 of the family's 1533-position model. The record is from RNAcentral.